RNAcentral lists this ribosomal RNA (363 nucleotides) under Fuscidea cyathoides. RNAcentral describes it as "SSU rRNA". It matches the Rfam family "Bacterial small subunit ribosomal RNA", at positions 369 to 739 of the family's 1533-position model. The record is from RNAcentral. Lineage: Eukaryota; Fungi; Ascomycota; Lecanoromycetes; Umbilicariales; Fuscideaceae.
CAAUAGCCUAACGGCUGAACCAGCAACUUGGAAGAAUGUAUAGCGAAAGCUAGCUGUAUUAACUAAUAGUUAGUAUAGUAUCGACUAUGUCGACUAAAAUUCGGGGUAGAGUAAUGAUAAUGACAUAUUCUGCUCAUAAGUCUUGACCAAAUCACGUGCCAGCAGUCGCGGCAAUACGUGGAAGACUAGUGUUAUUCAUCUUAAAUAGGUUUAAAGGGUACCUAGACGGUAAAUUUAGCCCCCAAAGGGUACAGAUAUACUAGAGUUUGAUGAGAGGGGGGUAGUACUGACGGAGGAGAGAUGAAAUUUUUUGAUACCGAUAUAAGAGACAGGUAUAGGCGAAAGCAACCCUUUAUGUAAAAA